RNAcentral lists this ribosomal RNA (433 nucleotides) under uncultured bacterium. Its description in RNAcentral is "bacterial SSU rRNA". It matches the Rfam family "Bacterial small subunit ribosomal RNA", at positions 958 to 1392 of the family's 1533-position model. The record is from RNAcentral.
AACGCGAAGAACCUUACCUAGACUUGACAUCUCCUGAAUUACUCUGUAAUGGAGGAAGCCGCUUCGGCGGCAGGAAGACAGGUGGUGCAUGGUUGUCGUCAGCUCGUGUCGUGAGAUGUUGGGUUAAGUCCCGCAACGAGCGCAACCCUUAUUGUUAGUUGCUACCAUUUAGUUGAGCACUCUAGUGAGACUGCCCGGGUUAACCGGGAGGAAGGUGGGGAUGACGUCAAAUCAUCAUGCCCCUUAUGUCUAGGGCUACACACGUGCUACAAUGGCUGGUACAGAGAGAUGCGAUACCGCGAGGUGGAGCCAAACUUCAAAACCAGUCUCAGUUCGGAUUGUAGGCUGAAACUCGCCUACAUGAAGCUGGAGUUGCUAGUAAUCGCGAAUCAGAAUGUCGCGGUGAAUACGUUCCCGGGCCUUGUACACACCG